Juglans microcarpa x Juglans regia is the source of this 177-nucleotide long non-coding RNA. RefSeq lists it as uncharacterized. The transcript is spliced from 4 exons. NCBI's taxonomy places the organism in Eukaryota, Viridiplantae, Streptophyta, Magnoliopsida, Fagales, Juglandaceae. The record is from RefSeq and is a predicted model, not a curated record.
AAAUAGUAGAUUGCAGUAGAGAAUUAUCAUGUUAUAUCAAAGUGAAGAGAUACAUAGCAACAAAUGAAAUUCAUCAGCAGCAGCAACACGUAUUAAUUGUAUGGAACAGAUUUUCUUUUCCUCAACAAGACGAUAACAACAAAUUGAACAAUAAGAUCUAAAAAUAGUUGAAAAAGA